UCCCUGGUGGCUCAGAUGGUAAAGCAUCUGCCUGCAAUGCAGGAGACCCAGGUUCAAUCCCCGGGUUGGGAA
Molecule: transfer RNA, 72 nt
Filed under: Ovis aries (sheep)
Lineage: Eukaryota; Metazoa; Chordata; Mammalia; Artiodactyla; Bovidae
Rfam family: tRNA
About the family: Transfer RNA (tRNA) molecules are approximately 80 nucleotides in length. Their secondary structure includes four short double-helical elements and three loops (D, anti-codon, and T loops). Further hydrogen bonds mediate the characteristic L-shaped molecular structure. tRNAs have two regions of fundamental functional importance: the anti-codon, which is responsible for specific mRNA codon recognition, and the 3' end, to which the tRNAs corresponding amino acid is attached (by aminoacyl-tRNA synthetases). tRNAs cope with the degeneracy of the genetic code in two manners: having more than one tRNA (with a specific anti-codon) for a particular amino acid; and 'wobble' base-pairing, i.e. permitting non-standard base-pairing at the 3rd anti-codon position.
Source: Rfam by way of RNAcentral